AAGUUAGAAUUUUUCAGGGAAAGUCAGGGAAUAUACUUACAAUCCUGGAAAAUUCAUGUAAAUUCCCUAGUGGUAGUUGUUGUACAUCUGCCUUGCUCGUGAUGGUUGGCAUCACUGAUAACAGGUGAAUGUCAGUUCCGGUUAUGGCGCCUGUAUAUGUACCACGGUGAACGGACAAUAAAGAAUAUUAAGUGCUAACUACAUGUACUUGCUUAUCUACAACUUAAAACCUAUGUUCUCAAGUAAAACAUGGCGCAGUCGUGUGGAAUUGUGUUCAUAUUUCAGUUCGUCCAUGUUCGUUGGAUUUAUGUGCUAUAGGUGAUAUAACCUGUAGGUGUGCGUUUGUUUGUCGACACGUGUUUUUCGGACGUCGGUGGUAAAUAGUGAAUAUCGAACAAUGUUGUUGACAGACUGAAUCGUAUAGUUUUUUUUCUGUUUGUGCCAUGGCAGGCCUCAAUCUUGUAAAGCUCCCCGACUCUGUUGACUUGGAGAGUCCCACGGCCCGAAAAGACUGGGAAGUGUUUGAAGGAGAUUUUGAAAAUUAUUUAAUCGCAAUGGGCCAGGAUGAGGGCCCAGAUAAGGUUAAGAUCGCCCUACUCAAAAACAUGUUAGGCUCCCAAGGACGAGCCCUUUUCGAAACUUUCGACAUCCCACCGGAGGACAAGCUAGUGUAUUCUAAAGUAAAGGAAGCGUAUCGCGUGUUCGUGGCACCAAAAACAAAUCCUUUGUAUGAACUGUUUGUUUUUAACCAGCGUUUGCAACUUGAGGGUGAGACUUUUGAUCAUUUCUUGACUGAUUGCCGCCGCCUGAUUAAAACAUGUGGCUAUGAGCGCCCAGUUUCGCAGGAAGAGAAUAUGCUGGUUGACCGCAUCGUCCAGGGCAUCAGAGAUUCGUCCGUUCGGGAGUCUCUGCUGAGGUUAGACAAUGCUACUCUUACUAAAGUUGCUGCACACUGCCGUCUGAUGGAACAAAGUCAACAACAAGCAAAGGAGAUUCAAGCUCGGAGUUCUACUCACGAUAGUGUAAGUUGUGACUUUGUGUCCACUAAGGAUAGGAAGUCGUCACGCCCAAGACAAAACAGCAAGUUUGGUGAUAACGGUGAGUACAACUGCUCAAGGUGCCAGACACAGCACAAGGCCAGACAAUGCCCAGCAUAUGGAAAAAAAUGUGCCAAAUGUGGCAUUAUGAAUCACUUUGCUGCCUCGUGCAGAGUUCGGAAAGUUCGGGAGGUAAAAGCAAAGCAUUCUUCUAGUGAGAGUCUAUACUGUGAUGCGGUGACAGUCAAUUCUGUGUAUCCUAGAGGGACUAGAACAACCCACAUCAAUGAGUGGAGGGAGCGUAUACUGAUUGAGGACAAAGCAGUGAACAUAAAAUUGGAUCCCGGUUCUGAAAUAAAUAUUUUGCCACUCAGUUUGUUCAGGACGGUUGACAAACAGUUCAAGGUCAGGCCAACAUCCCUAAAAAUUGAGGUUUGGGGUGGGACCAUUCUUGCAGCAAAAGGAGUAGUUAAUUUGUGUUGUUCUGUCAAAGGCCAAGAGUCUUAUGUUGAAUUUGUUAUAGUUGACUCUGACAGCACUCCUUUGUUAGGGCUACAGUCUUGUGUUGACUUCAAUCUUGUGAAAAGGGUUCACUCAGCUUGCCACGAGGCAAAGGACAGAUUCAUUAAAGAACACAAUGAAGUAUUCACUGGUUUUGGCUGUUUCCCCCAAGUAUGUAGAAUUAACAUUCGCGACCAUAGCAACCCUGUUUGUAAGCCUCCAAGAAGGGUCCCUAGAGCAAUCAGACCUGCGUUAAAACAAGAACUGGACAGACUCGAACAGAAAGGCAUUAUAUGUAAAGUUGACAAGCUCAGUGCUAGCGCUUGGGUGAGCAACCUAGUUGUUGUGGAAAAGUCAAGUGGGAAGUUGAGAUUAUGUCUUGAUCCGACUGACCUCAAUAAGGUGGUGAUUCGAGACUACCAUGAAAUACCGACAUUGGAAGAAAUGUCCGAGAAGCUCACAGGAAAAAAUUUUUAUUCAGUGUUUGAUCUUAAGGAAGGGUUCCACCAAGUGCAACUAGAUGAAGACUCGUCUCACAAGUGCUGCUUCUCGACACCAUUUGGGUGCUAUCGCUAUCUACGCAUGCCAUACGGCAUUGCCAAUGCCCCAGAAAAUUUCCAGAAGUUUAUCGAAGAGAACUUUGCCUCUAUUCCUGGAGUGGUGACGUUCUUCGAUGACAUCCUCUGCACAGGCGAAACAGAAGGUGACCAUGAUACGUGUGCUCAGCAAGUGGUUGAGCGUGCAGCCAGCCUUGGCAUCAAGUUCAACCCAGAUAAGCUUCAAUAUAAGGUUUCCGAAGUAAGGUAUGUGGGCCAGAUCUUCUCCGCCGCAGGCAAGUCACCUGAUCCUGAGCGAAUCCGAGCUCUGACUAGUCUACAGGCUCCCAGCAAUCGCAAAGAACUUCAACGUACUUUGGGGAUGUUCAAUUUUGUUCGCUGUUAUAUUCCAGGUAUGUCUAGUGUGUGUUCCCCAUUGUAUGAACUUCUUAAAGCGGAUGUAGACUGGUUGUGGCUCCCGUGUCAUGAAGAGGCUUUUUGUAAACUCAAGUCGCUCAUCACUAGUGCCCCUGUUCUGGCAACUUUUGAUCCCACAAACCAACUUGUUAUACAGUGUGAUGCAUCACAGAGUGGGCUUGGUGCUACUUUGUUUCAGGAGGGCCCAAAGGGUCUCCACCCUGUGCACAUUGCCUCCAGGUCCCUUACAGCAGCAGAAAAGAGCUACUCCCAGAUUGAGAAGGAGCUCUUAGCAGUUUCUUUUGCCUCAGCUAAAUUUCACUACUAUAUUUAUGGUAAGCAGGUCCUAGUGCAAUCUGAUCAUAAGCCACUUGUGAAUGUUAUGGUCAAACCAGUUCAUCAUAUAGGCUCAGCAUGCCUUCAGAGGUUACGUCUUAAACUGUUGAAGUAUGACCUAAACGUUACUUACCUACCUGGUAAACUCAUGUAUUUCGCAGACCACCUGUCGCGGUCAUAUCUUACAGACAAGGUAUUCGACGAUCCUGCAAUGGUUGAGGUAGUACAUUCCGUCAGUAAGCACUUGCCUAUGUCAAACAAACGCUUGCUUCAGUUCCAGUUGGAAACAACUAAGGACGCGGCUCUCUGUCAAGUGUCCCAAUUUUGUCAGUCAGAUUGGCCCCCCUACAGUAGAGUUCCUCAAGUAUGCAAACCUUAUUACAAAAUGCGGGAUGACUUGUGUGCUGAAAGUGGUUUAGUCUUCCUCGGUGAUAAGGUUGUUGUUCCUGAGGCUCUAAGACCAUAUGUUCUACAGCUGCUUCUUGAAGGCCACUGUGGAGAAUCGAAGACCAAGUCCAAGGGCCGUCAGUUGUUUUACUGGCCAUCUAUGUCAGUUGAUAUUGUGCAGUUCAUUCAAAAAUGCUCUGUGUGUGAGAAGUUUCGCCCAGCCAACUACAGACAGCCCCUCUGCCCACAUCCCAUUCCAAAGCUGCCAUAUGACACAGUAGGUGCAGACAUUUUUGACUUCGCUGGGAAAGAUUAUUUGGUUCUUGUGGACAAAUAUUCCAAAUGGAUAGAUGUGUGUGAACUUCCCAAAAAGACUUCCUCUGCCGUCAUCAGUGCCAUGCAACAAGUAUUCAGCACUCAUGGCCUCCCACGAGUGCUGAUGGCUGAUAACAUGCCAUUCAAUUCUCAUGAAUGCCGUCAGUAUUAUGCCCUGAGUGAAAUUGAGCUACGAACUAGUAGUCCUCAUUAUCCACGCAGUAAUGGGUUGGCAGAAAUGGCAGUAAAGAUUAGCAAAAUGCUGCUACGCAAAAGUCAGGGCACUGAUUUCAGAAACUUACUUUGUGAAUAUAGAAACACCCCUCUUCCUGGCUUAGACUGGUCCCCCUCUCAGUUACUAUUUAAUAGGAGACUUCGGAGUAAACUGCCUGUCUCAUAUAACACCCUCAGACCUAGGGUCAUCUCCCCAGAACACAUGGUGAGAGCAUUAAUGUCAAAGGAGAAGCAGAUGAAAGACGUAUACAACAAAACGGCCAGGCGACAGGAGAUAACAUUCGUUAAGGGGGAAACUGUGGUUGUCAAAACCCACAAACAUGACAAGUGGGAGCCGGGAGUCAUUGUGGGCAAACACUCAUCACCUCGCUCCUAUUGGGUGCGAGGAUCAGGUGAUAGGAUAGUGCGUCGCAAUGUGAUCCAUCUGAGAAAAACCACUACCUCGCAGAAGCCCCACCAGUCAGCUCCACGCCUGCUCGAGGUUCCCAACACCAAGACUGAUGGCGAGGAGGGUAACCGCCUGAAGCAGACUCCACGCACCUGAUCAUUGGAGCCUGACUUCCGGGGGUUUGAGCCUCAAACUUCGACGAAUGCAGUGACUGAUGUGUCUACUGUGCAGGGUGAUGAAUCUCAGGAAGCAGCAGACAGCAGUGGCCAUACCUGGGCUACCAAAAGUGGAAGGGAGGUGAAGCCUGUGAAGCGCUUAAAUUUGUAAUGUUGUCUGCUUGUCAAUUAGUGUGUUGUAAGUGAGUUGUGAAUUGCACAUGUGUGUUUCAUGCAGUAUACUUGUUUUCUGAAUUAUAGUGUGUACUGUUAAUAAGCAAUUGCACAACUUUGUAUGUAAGUUUGGUCUCAACAAGUAAACCUUAGAACCCUAGCAAGUGGUCACAUGUCUCGCAGUAUAAAGGGGAAGGUGUUGUACAUCUGCCUUGCUCGUGAUGGUUGGCAUCACUGAUAACAGGUGAAUGUCAGUUCCGGUUAUGGCGCCUGUAUAUGUACCACGGUGAACGGACAAUAAAGAAUAUUAAGUGCUAACUACAUGUACUUGCUUAUCUACAACUUAAAACCUAUGUUCUCAAGUAAAACAGUAGUAACUCGAGGGAACAAUUUCAUACUCGUCUGCCAUCACCCAGACUGUGAAAUAAUUUUUCAGAUAGUGUUAUAAUCAGUAGGUUAGGUUCUGCAUGAAAUUUUUAUUUAUGUAAUAUAAUUAUAGGCUAGGUAUGGAAUGAUAGAAGCUGAAUAUUUUUAAUGUCUUUCAGAAAAUUGCAAUAUAGGUACUGGGUGAUAAGCAUGGGAAUGCCAUAUACCUGAAUGAAAGAGAGUGCAGCAUCCAA
Molecule: RNA transcript, 5100 nt
Organism: Bacillus rossius redtenbacheri
Lineage: Eukaryota; Metazoa; Arthropoda; Insecta; Phasmatodea; Bacillidae
Gene name: propionyl-CoA carboxylase alpha chain, mitochondrial-like
Exons: 2
Source: RefSeq, a predicted model, not a curated record